Dermatophagoides farinae (American house dust mite) is the source of this 712-nucleotide long non-coding RNA. RefSeq lists it as uncharacterized. The record is from RefSeq and is a predicted model, not a curated record. NCBI's taxonomy places the organism in Eukaryota, Metazoa, Arthropoda, Arachnida, Sarcoptiformes, Pyroglyphidae.
GAAAAAGGAGGAAAAAAUUCCAUCAUUUAACGAAAGAAAAUUAGAAAAAUUUUUCGCUCUUUUUUUCUGAUGAUUCGAAUCCGAACAACCAAGAACAGCAAACAACAACAACAUUCGACAUUCAUGGCCACCAACUGUUUGCUGUUUGUUAAUGCAAAAAAAAACUCUCUAGUUCUGAAAAUUCCCGGAAUUUUGGGAGUUGCAAAAAAAAAGAAUUUAUCUCAUUUUUAUUUUCUUUUUGCUCUCUGCAUAUUUAUGGCUUCCCAUUUUGGAACAUUUGAUAAAUAAGUGGUGACAAAAUGAUGAUGAUGAUGAUGAUCACCCAAGCAGACCAAAAAGGAGAGACAUUAUCAAUAAUUUCCAUUUGAGAAUGUUAUUCCGAUAAUGUCUUGAAUGGAUUGUCUUGUUUCGAAAAUCAAGAAUCAACUAUGCUGUGUGUUUGUUUUUUUUAUUAUUAUUGAUAGAUUGAUUGAUUGAUUGAAAAAUUCUGUUUUAUUACCACAAAUAAAAAAAAUUCAACCAUCAUCAUCAUCAUCAUCAUCAUAGACAUCAGAUUGGAAAUAUACAAAAGAAUUGCGAUUUGAAUUUCAUAUAUGAAUGCCAAGAAAAAAAAAAUUUUGAAAUCCAAAUCAAAACCGACAACAACCAUGAAUAAUAAAAAUAAAAUAAACAAUCAGAUUUUCACAAUUGAAUUCAUGAUCAUCAACAACAU